UCCCUGGUGGUCUAAUGGCUAAGACUCUGCUCUCAACUCAGGGGGCUCAGGUUCAAUCCUUGGUCAGGGGA
Ovis aries (sheep) is the source of this 71-nucleotide transfer RNA. It matches the Rfam family "tRNA". From Rfam's summary of the family: Transfer RNA (tRNA) molecules are approximately 80 nucleotides in length. Their secondary structure includes four short double-helical elements and three loops (D, anti-codon, and T loops). The record is from Rfam. NCBI's taxonomy places the organism in Eukaryota, Metazoa, Chordata, Mammalia, Artiodactyla, Bovidae.